GACAGGCGUGAAAUCCCGGGCUUAACCUGGAAUGGCGCUGUGACUGUAUAGCUAGAGUGUGUCAGAGGGGGGUAGAAUUCCACGUGUAGCAGUGAAAUGCGUAGAUAUGUGGAGGAAUACCAAUGGCGAAGGCAGCCCCUGGGAUAACACUGACGCUCAUGCACGAAAGCGUGGGGAGCAAACAGGAUUAGAUACCUGGUAGUCCACGCCCUAAACGAUGCUGACUAGUUGUUCGGGAUUUACAUCCUGAGUAACGUAGCUAACGCGUGAAGUCAGCCGCCUGGGGAGUACGGUCGCAAGAUUAAAACUCAAAGGAAUUGACGGGGACCCGCACAAGCGGUGGAUGAUGUGGAUUAAUUCGAUGCAACGCGAAAAACCUUACCUACCCUUGACAUGUCACCAACGAAGUAGAGAUACAUUAGGUGCUCGUAAGAGAAAGUGAACACAGGUGCUGCAUGGCUGUCGUCAGCUCGUGUCGUGAGAUGUUGGGUUAAGUCCCGCAACGAGCGCAACCCUUGUCUUUAGUUGCUACGCAAGAGCACUCUAAAGAGACUGCCGGUGACAAACCGGAGGAAGGUGGGGAUGACGUCAAGUCCUCAUGGCCCUUAUGGGUAGGGCUUCACACGUCAUACAAUGGUGCAUACAGAGGGUUGCCAACCCGCGAGGGGGAGCUAAUCUCAGAAAAUGCAUCGUAGUCCGGAUCGUAGUCUGCAACUCGACUACGUGAAGCUGGAAUCGCUAGUAAUCGCGGAUCAGAAUGUCGCGGUGAAUACGUUCCCGGGUCUUGUACACACCGCCCGUCAUACCAUGGGAGUGGGUUUUGCCAGAAGCCGUUAGCCUAACCGCAAGGAGGGCGACUGCCACGGCAGGGUUCAUGACUGGGGUAAAGUCGUAACAAGGUAACC
RNAcentral lists this ribosomal RNA (905 nucleotides) under uncultured bacterium. RNAcentral describes it as "bacterial SSU rRNA". It matches the Rfam family "Bacterial small subunit ribosomal RNA", at positions 587 to 1501 of the family's 1533-position model. The record is from RNAcentral.